Molecule: ribosomal RNA, 498 nt
Filed under: uncultured bacterium
Lineage: Bacteria
Description: partial 16S ribosomal RNA
Rfam family: Bacterial small subunit ribosomal RNA
Source: RNAcentral
AUUGAACGCUGGCGGCAUGCCUUACACAUGCAAGUCGAACGGUAACAGGUCUUCGGAUGCUGACGAGUGGCGAACGGGUGAGUAAUACAUCGGAACGUGCCUAGUAGUGGGGGAUAACUACUCGAAAGAGUGGCUAAUACCGCAUGAGAUCUACGGAUGAAAGCAGGGGAUCGCAAGACCUGGUGCUACUACAGCGGCCGAUGGCAGAUUAGGUAGUUGGUGGGAUAAAAGCUUACCAAGCCGACGAUCUGUAGCUGGUCUGAGAGGACGAUCAGCCACGCUGGGACUGAGACACGGCCCAGACUCCUACGGGAGGCAGCAGUGGGGAAUUUUGGACAAUGGGCGAAAGCCUGAUCCAGCAAUGCCGCGUGCAGGAUGAAGGCCUUCGGGUUGUAAACUGCUUUUGUACGGAACGAAAAGCCCCGGGUUAAUACCCUGGGGUCAUGACGGUACCGUAAGAAUAAGCACCGGCUAACUACGUGCCAGCCGCCGCCGUAA